This 439-nucleotide ribosomal RNA is filed under the name bacterium FD3002. Its description in RNAcentral is "bacterial SSU rRNA". It matches the Rfam family "Bacterial small subunit ribosomal RNA", at positions 28 to 460 of the family's 1533-position model. The record is from RNAcentral.
GACGAACGCUGGCGGCACGCUUAACACAUGCAAGUCGAACGGAGUUGAGGAGGUGCUUGCACCAUCUCAACUUAGUGGCGGACGGGUGAGUAACACGUGAGCAACCUGCCUUUGAGAGUGGAAUAGCUUCUGGAAACGGAUGGUAAUACCGCAUGAAAUUAUCUGACCGCAUGAUCGGAUAAUCAAAGAUUUAUCGCUCAAAGAUGGGCUCGCGUCUGAUUAGAUAGUUGGUGGGGUAACGGCCUACCAAGUCGACGAUCAGUAGCCGGACUGAGAGGUUGAACGGCCACAUUGGGACUGAGACACGGCCCAGACUCCUACGGGAGGCAGCAGUGGGGAAUAUUGCACAAUGGGCGGAAGCCUGAUGCAGCGAUGCCGCGUGGAGGAAGAAGGUUUUCGGAUUGUAAACUCCUGAUCUGAGGGACGAUAAUGACGUACU